RNAcentral lists this ribosomal RNA (252 nucleotides) under uncultured bacterium. RNAcentral describes it as "partial 16S ribosomal RNA". It matches the Rfam family "Bacterial small subunit ribosomal RNA", at positions 524 to 776 of the family's 1533-position model. The record is from RNAcentral.
GACAGAGGGUGCAAACGUUGCUCGGAAUUACUGGGCGUAAAGCGUGCGCAGGCGGUUGUGCAAGACAGAUGUGAAAUCCCCGGGCUCAACCUGGGAAUUGCAUUUGUGACUGCACGGCUAGAGUGUGUCAGAGGGGGUAGAAUUCCACGUGUAGCAGUGAAAUGCGUAGAGAUGUGGAGGAAUACCGAUGGCGAAGGCAGCCCCCUGGGAUAACACUGACGCUCAUGCACGAAAGCGUGGGGAGCAAACAGG